GAGUGUAGCUCAAUGGUAGAGUGCUUGCCUAGCAUGCACAAGGUCCUGAGUUCAAUCCCCAGAACCAUACA
Molecule: transfer RNA, 71 nt
Filed under: Marmota monax (woodchuck)
Lineage: Eukaryota; Metazoa; Chordata; Mammalia; Rodentia; Sciuridae
Description: tRNA.Ala
Source: RNAcentral